RNAcentral lists this ribosomal RNA (480 nucleotides) under uncultured bacterium. RNAcentral's name for it is "bacterial SSU rRNA". It matches the Rfam family "Bacterial small subunit ribosomal RNA", at positions 28 to 508 of the family's 1533-position model. The record is from RNAcentral.
GAUGAACGCUGGCGGCGUGCUUAACACAUGCAAGUCGAGCGAAGCGCUUAAGUUUGAUUCUUCGGAUGAAGACUUUUGUGACUGAGCGGCGGACGGGUGAGUAACGCGUGGGUAACCUGCCUCAUACAGGGGGAUAACAGUUAGAAAUGACUGCUAAUACCGCAUAAGACCACGGUACCGCAUGGUACAGUGGUAAAAACUCCGGUGGUAUGAGAUGGACCCGCGUCUGAUUAGGUAGUUGGUGGGGUAACGGCCUACCAAGCCGACGAUCAGUAGCCGACCUGAGAGGGUGACCGGCCACAUUGGGACUGAGACACGGCCCAGACUCCUACGGGAGGCAGCAGUGGGGAAUAUUGCACAAUGGAGGAAACUCUGAUGCAGCGACGCCGCGUGAAGGAUGAAGUAUUUCGGUAUGUAAACUUCUAUCAGCAGGGAAGAAAAUGACGGUACCUGACUAAGAAGCCCCGGCUAACUACGUGC